RNAcentral lists this ribosomal RNA (990 nucleotides) under Listeria monocytogenes. Its description in RNAcentral is "partial 23S ribosomal RNA". It matches the Rfam family "Bacterial large subunit ribosomal RNA", at positions 1936 to 2925 of the family's 2925-position model. Lineage: Bacteria; Bacillati; Bacillota; Bacilli; Caryophanales; Listeriaceae. The record is from RNAcentral.
GUAACUAUAACGGUCCUAAGGUAGCGAAAUUCCUUGUCGGGUAAGUUCCGACCCGCACGAAAGGCGUAACGAUUUGGGCACUGUCUCAACGAGAGACUCGGUGAAAUCAUAGUACCUGUGAAGAUGCAGGUUACCCGCGACAGGACGGAAAGACCCCGUGGAGCUUUACUGUAGCCUGAUAUUGAAAUUCGGCACAGCUUGUACAGGAUAGGUAGGAGCCUUUGAAACGUGAGCGCUAGCUUACGUGGAGGCGUUGGUGGGAUACUACCCUAGCUGUGUUGGCUUUCUAACCCGCACCACUUAUCGUGGUGGGAGACAGUGUCAGGCGGGCAGUUUGACUGGGGCGGUCGCCUCCUAAAAGGUAACGGAGGCGCUCAAAGGUUCCCUCAGAAUGGUUGGAAAUCAUUCAUAGAGUGUAAAGGCAUAAGGGAGCUUGACUGCGAGACCUACAAGUCGAGCAGGGUCGAAAGACGGACUUAGUGAUCCGGUGGUUCCGCAUGGAAGGGCCAUCGCUCAACGGAUAAAAGCUACCCCGGGGAUAACAGGCUUAUCUCCCCCAAGAGUUCACAUCGACGGGGAGGUUUGGCACCUCGAUGUCGGCUCAUCGCAUCCUGGGGCUGUAGUCGGUCCCAAGGGUUGGGCUGUUCGCCCAUUAAAGCGGUACGCGAGCUGGGUUCAGAACGUCGUGAGACAGUUCGGUCCCUAUCCGUCGUGGGCGUAGGAAAUUUGAGAGGAGCUGUCCUUAGUACGAGAGGACCGGGAUGGACAUACCUCUGGUGUACCAGUUGUCGUGCCAACGGCAUAGCUGGGUAGCUAUGUAUGGACGGGAUAAGUGCUGAAAGCAUCUAAGCAUGAAGCCCCCCUCAAGAUGAGAUUUCCCAACUUCGGUUAUAAGAUCCCUCAGAGAUGAUGAGGUUAAUAGGUUCGAGGUGGAAGCGUGGUGACACGUGGAGCUGACGAAUACUAAUCGAUCGAAGACUUAAUCAAUUU